CUUUGAAAAAAAGAGUUCAAGAGUACGUGAAACGGCUAAGAGGCUAAGCGAAUAGAGUAUCGAAGUAGAUGUUUAUGGUUCACGUUUAAUGAAGGCUUAAAAGCUGGAACUAUGCGGUAUACCAUUUUCAUCAUCGUGCUGAGAAUCAAUUCAUCCUUGCCCUUGUAUAGCAAGCGGCUGUAUCGCGAGAGCUUAAACUACGGUUAAAGUUGUCGAUGCAGUUGUUUAAGGGAAGGAGUGAUUGAUUUAUAUAAAUCUGGUUUAGGCCAGGGUGCAGGCAGUGGAGCUGGAGUAAUGUAGUUAGUAGGCAAAAGGGAACCAGACAGUUCGCUGUAGGUCUCUCUUGUUUCGACUAUAUUACCUUGUGAAUCUGUUUGAUCAGCACAGUAGUCUUACUCUACUCGUCCCGUCUUGAAACACGGACCAAGGAUUCUAGCAUGUGGUCGAGUAUAUCAGUCUUGAAUAGGCUGGGAUGCGAAAUGAAAGUAACCCGUGCAGAGCCACUUGUGGCACAAGUACGACCCGCUAACGCGGAGCGUAGACGAUACGCUGGUACCCGAAAGAUGGUGAACUAUGCCUGGGCAGGAUGAAGCCAGAGGAAACUCUGGUGGAAGUCUGAAGCGGUUCUGACGUGCAAAUCGAUCGUCAGACCUGGGUAUAGGGGCGAAAGACUAAUCGAACCAUC
Molecule: ribosomal RNA, 685 nt
Filed under: Diptera sp. NZAC03013124
Lineage: Eukaryota; Metazoa; Arthropoda; Insecta; Diptera
Description: eukaryotic LSU rRNA
Rfam family: Eukaryotic large subunit ribosomal RNA
Source: RNAcentral